GACGAACCGUGCAAACGUUGUUCGGAAUCACUGGGCUUAAAGGGUGCGUAGGCGGGUUGGUAAGUCCGUGGUGAAAUCUCCGAGCUUAACUCGGAAACUGCCGUGGAUACUAUCAAUCUUGAAUAUCGUGGAGGUAAGCGGAAUAUGUCAUGUAGCGGUGAAAUGCUUAGAGAUGACAUAGAACACCAAUUGCGUAGGCAGCUUACUACACGAUCAUUGACGCUGAGGCACGAAAGCGUGGGGAGCAAACAGG
RNAcentral lists this ribosomal RNA (253 nucleotides) under uncultured bacterium. Its description in RNAcentral is "partial 16S ribosomal RNA". It matches the Rfam family "Bacterial small subunit ribosomal RNA", at positions 524 to 776 of the family's 1533-position model. The record is from RNAcentral.